This 249-nucleotide ribosomal RNA is filed under the name uncultured bacterium. RNAcentral describes it as "partial 16S ribosomal RNA". It matches the Rfam family "Bacterial small subunit ribosomal RNA", at positions 107 to 353 of the family's 1533-position model. The record is from RNAcentral.
UGAGUAACGCGUGAGGAACCUGCCUCAAAGAGGGGGACAACAGUGGAAACGACUGCUAAUACCGCAUAAGCCCACGGGUCGGCAUCGACCAGAGGGAAAAGGAGCAAUCCGCUUUGAGAUGGCCUCGCGUCCGAUUAGCUAGUUGGUGAGGUAAUGGCCCACCAAGGCAACGAUCGGUAGCCGGACUGAGAGGUUGAACGGCCACAUUGGGACUGAGACACGGCCCAGACUCCUACGGGAGGCAGCAUG